This 64-nucleotide transfer RNA is filed under the name Chthamalus challengeri. Its description in RNAcentral is "tRNA-His". Lineage: Eukaryota; Metazoa; Arthropoda; Thecostraca; Balanomorpha; Chthamalidae. The record is from RNAcentral.
GUUCGAAUAGUUUAAAAAAAAUUUAGAUUUGUGGCAUCUAGGAUGUAGAUUUCUACUUUGGACA